UACGUAGGUGACAAGCGUUGUCCGGAUUUACUGGGCGUAAAGAGCGCGCAGGCGGUCGUUCAAGUCGAGUGUGAAAGCCCCCGGCUCAACUGGGGAGGGUCACUCGAUACUGAUCGACUCGAAGGCAGGAGAGGGAAGUGGAAUUCCCGGUGUAGCGGUGAAAUGCGCAGAUAUCGGGAGGAACACCAAUGGCGAAGGCAGCUCGCUGGGACGGUACUGACGCUGAGGCGCGAAAGCGUGGGGAGCAAACAGG
RNAcentral lists this ribosomal RNA (253 nucleotides) under uncultured bacterium. RNAcentral describes it as "partial 16S ribosomal RNA". It matches the Rfam family "Bacterial small subunit ribosomal RNA", at positions 524 to 776 of the family's 1533-position model. The record is from RNAcentral.